Molecule: transfer RNA, 71 nt
Filed under: Marmota monax (woodchuck)
Lineage: Eukaryota; Metazoa; Chordata; Mammalia; Rodentia; Sciuridae
Description: tRNA.Undet
Source: RNAcentral
UGAAUAUAGCUCAGUGGCAGAGGGUGUGCGUAGCAUAAGUGAGGUCCUGGGUUCAAUUCCCAGGACUUCAA